Non-coding RNA from Vicugna pacos (alpaca), 3340 nucleotides. The record is from RefSeq and is a predicted model, not a curated record. NCBI's taxonomy places the organism in Eukaryota, Metazoa, Chordata, Mammalia, Artiodactyla, Camelidae.
CUCCCGCCCACCGUUUAGAGAGCUCGUGGAGGGCGAGGGGCGCGUGUGAGCUCCCCGCGCAGCGUCCCGGGCAGCGGCGGGGCCGGCUCGCGGGGCUCGGCGUAGCGUUGUCCGUGUGGGGGCAGCUCAGGGGCCUCUCACCACGCUGAACCCGGCCUCUCCGCAGCCCCAGGGGACCGGCUUGUGUUGGCGUUUAGUGGCUCCGCAGUGGACUUGGGAAAGAAUGCGGGAAGGGAAGGGAAAGCUGGAAGGAUUGGUGGAGGAAGUAACCUGGGACCAGGAUCAGGAGAUCUGAGGGAGUCACUUUAUCGUGGUUUCCUACAUGGGAAAUAUCGCUGUGAAAUUAGAUGACCUCCAAGGCCGCGCGGACCAGCAGAAUUAGCAUCACCUAGAAGCUUGUUAGAAAUGCAGAUUUAGGGCCGCGCCCCAGACUUGCUGAGUCAGAAUCUCGGUGAGGGGGGGGGGCCCUGCCAGCUGUGGUUUUUCACAAGCUCUCCAGGUGAUGGUGAUCUGCGCUGAAGUUGAGAAGCGCUGAUCUGGCAGUGCUGCUCCAACUCGCUGCGGAUUAGAAUGGCAGGGGAGUUUUGGAACCUCCCAAAUAAAAAUAUCUCAUUGGCGAACUGGAGGGAUGGGAGGGCAGAAAGCGCAGGCAUAAGUAGGUUUUUUUGGUUUUGUUUUUGGUUUUUAAGCUUCUCCAGUGUUGUCAUGUGCUGUCAAGGUGAGAGUCAUGGAUAGAACAAAGUGUGGUCCCUGGAGAAAGCAGGCCUCACGCAGCCCUCACGCAGAUCUACUGAAUCACAACCUGCAUUUUCACAGGCUCCCCAAGUAAUUCGUAUGCAGGUUUGGGUUUUGGAAAAACAGCUCUAAGGCUUCCUCCAACAUUUAGAAUCUAUGAGUUUAUGAAAUAUGUCUUUCUGUUUUACAGACUCUUAGACGGCUCCAUUUCUUCAACUUUUCUCAAAAGACGAUCUUCAUUAGGGGUCUUUGUCUAGUGCACUUGAAUUUUGACAUUUUAAUUAGACUUCCGGCUUCUCAAGAGACCUAGGAGAUUAUUAAGGCCACUGGGCCCACUUGACAGAGGAAGAGGGGAAGCCCUGUCUAGACAGGUGAAGAGAUUCCCCCAGGCCAGGGGAACCAGAAUGCUGACGUGGGGCCCUGGGUCACUGCCGGUUCUGUUACCCCACAUAGUAUCGUGAGGAGUUAUUUUUUGGUUUCCUCAAACAUUAUGGUGCGGGCAGCGAUGACACUGAGCUUGCGCUGCGUGGGCUGCAGACAGGGACGUUUUGGAGUAGAGCAACCCACUGGCAAUGCUGCCAGUCUGGCUGGGGAGGUGGGGGUGGGCACAUGGUUUCAGCCUAUGCUUUUGGGGACAAGGGGAGAAGAAGGGGUGAUUUCCAAGGGACUGAAAGGUUGGUGGUUUGUGGUAUGGUUGAAAGAAUGUCACCUGCCGUAUCAGUAAGCAAGGGAUGUUGCAGCCAUCAAGCCUGCAGUCCCUGCAGCUGUCCCACCCCCAAAAUCCCCGGCUGUGCACCCUGAGAGAAUUCAGGAUGGAGAAGAGCAGGACUCCGGGCCUAGAGAGCUCAGUCAACAAUUUUGGUGACCACAAAGGGGCCGAGAGCAGACUUCUCUCCUUCGCCUGAACUCUGCAAGUGUCAGGAGCCGGAUACCACAGAGGCCUCUUGGGCCUGUCCGCCUCCUCGGAGGGUCCAGAUGAUUUUGGCGAACUCUGGAUGCUUCAAAGGAACCCUGAGACAUCUCGGAGAGGAAUACUGAACUAAUUAGACUUGUUUGGAUUUGGCUUCUCCAGCUGGCUCCCCGUAGACUUGACAGUUUAUUGCGACCAGAUUACAAUUAGUUAUACUAAUCAUUGUUUUAAUUUGUUCUGUUUGUUUUCAAUUUGUUUAUGGUGGGUGUGGCUCUCUGCUGCAUUAUGACUUUAUUAUGUUACUAGUUGUAUUGCUUAUAUCCUGUCUGUUUUAUAAGAUUGUUGUCUCUUGCAUUUCCCAAUGUGUAUCCAGUCCUCCAACAAAAUUAAGGAUGUCUUGAGAGAGUUAAUCAUGUAUAUAACUCUACCUAGAAUAACAGUGCAACUCUAGGUAUGGGAAGAAGCAACAAGGGAAAAUAUUUCCUGGAUCAUAAGUGACUAGUGAAACAGGCGAGCCAGGGAGUUUGAGAUCACCCACAGGUUCUGAUCCAGAAAAGAUCACUGAACGGCCUAUCAACAGAAUAUUCACCUGAUCUAGGGACGAGCCUUCCUACUGCCAUGGGACAAAAUUGGUCAUGAAAUGUCUCCCAAUUUGGCCGAAUUUAUGACCAAGGCGAGACACUGUGGAUGAAAAAUGUCACCUGCCACAUCAGCGAACAAAGGAUGUUGUGGCCAUCAAGCCAUCAGCCCCUGCAGUCACCCACAACGGUGCACCCUGAGGGAUUGAGGAUGGACAAAAGCAGGAGUCUGGCCCCAGAUAGCUAAGGUGCAGGUCAAAGGAGUGAUUUCAGUGAGCCCAGGCUCUUGCAUCUUCCCAUCCACUAACUUGAGGUGUCUGGUUUUCUCGCACAGUCAUCUUCUGAUGGUCUGACCACCUGGUGCAUCCUGGUUCCUCCCUUACCUCUUCAGAGCAGUUCUUCAGAGCGAUCUGAGAGGCUGUCUUCUGGGUUUAAAUCCUCAGAAUAUCUGCCAAAUAAAACGUAAUUUUCAACUUUUAGAUUGUGCCCCUUUUUUCAGCUGACACUGGCUACUUAGCAACUAUUUCUUCUCUUCCCCAUGGACACCGCCUGGUAUGAACGUCAUUAGCCCUCUGCCUCCCCCAGCGAAGGGGCAGACACUCUCCAGAUUUGAAUCCUGAUCAGAGUGACCGGAAGUCUGAAGACAGCAGGUGCUGUCCCCACCAGCAGAGGCCCUCUGAGAAGCUCUCUACCUGCUCUGACACAAGUGUCUUCAAAAAGGAGCCAAUGACGCCACCAAAACUCUCAACAGAGGCGUCUCUGAGGUCAUCGUGAUGGCUGCGGACAUGAGUCUCGGACAUCCUCCUGCACCUGCCUGCCUGCUGUGUGAGAAUGAGAACGUGCCCUACGUGUCUGUGCGCUCAGGCAGGCCCUGGGGCGGGCCUGUGGGGUCUCCAGGCCUGUCAUCGCCUGUCCUGUCACUAUCAAAGAAAGCUCAGAACUGAAGCAGCAGAUCCAAUCCAUCCAGCAGUCCAUUGACAGGCUCUUAGUCUAAACAGGUGGCCUCUGCCACACUCCCUGCUGACUCCUCCCCCAGAGGUUAUGUGUCAUGUUGUCUGUUAGCAUGUAGUAUUUCCAGCUACCUUCUAUUGUUAUAAACUAUUGUAGUGCUAAAAAA